CCUACGGGUGGCAGCAGUGAGGAAUAUUGGUCAAUGGACGCAAGUCUGAACCAGCCAAGUAGCGUGAAGGAUGACUGCCCUCUGGUUUGUAACCUUCUUUUAUAUGGGAGUACAGUGUUCCACGUCUGUUGUUUUGUCUGUGCCAUAUUACUUACGAUCAGCUAACGCCGUGCGUGCAGCCGCGGUAAUACGGAGGUUCCGAGCGUUAUCCGGAUUUAUUGGGUUUAAAGGGAGCGUAGUUGGAUUGUUAAGUCAGUUGUGAAAGUUUGCGGCUCAACCGUAAAAUUGCAGUUGAAACUGGUAGUCUUGAGUACAGUAGAGGUGGGCGGAAUUCGUGGUGUAGCGGUGAAAUGCUUAGAUAUCACGAAGAACGCCGAUGGCGAAGGCAGCCCACUGGACUGCAACUGACACUGAGGCUCGAAAGUGUGGGUAUCAAACAGGAUUAGAUACCCUGGUAGUC
Molecule: ribosomal RNA, 460 nt
Filed under: uncultured bacterium
Lineage: Bacteria
Description: partial 16S ribosomal RNA
Rfam family: Bacterial small subunit ribosomal RNA
Source: RNAcentral